RNAcentral lists this ribosomal RNA (255 nucleotides) under uncultured bacterium. RNAcentral's name for it is "partial 16S ribosomal RNA". It matches the Rfam family "Bacterial small subunit ribosomal RNA", at positions 524 to 776 of the family's 1533-position model. The record is from RNAcentral.
UACGUAGGGGGCAAGCGUUGUCCGGAUUUAUUGGGCGUAAAGAGCGUGUAGGCGGCCAUACAGGUCAGCUGUGAAAACUCGAGGCUCAACCUCGAGACGUCGGUUGAAACCGUAUGGCUAGAGUCCGGAAGAGGAGAGUGGAAUUCCCGGUGUAGCGGUGAAAUGCGCAGAUAUCGGGAAGAACACCCGUGGCGAAGGCGGCUCUCUGGGACGGUACUGGACGGCUGAGACGCGAAAGCGUGGGGAGCGAACAGG